RNAcentral lists this ribosomal RNA (259 nucleotides) under uncultured prokaryote. RNAcentral's name for it is "partial 16S ribosomal RNA". It matches the Rfam family "Bacterial small subunit ribosomal RNA", at positions 526 to 784 of the family's 1533-position model. The record is from RNAcentral.
CGUAGGUGGCAAGCGUUAUCCGGAAUUAUUGGGCGUAAAGAGCGCGCAGGUGGUUGAUUAAGUCUGAUGUGAAAGCCAACGGCUUAACCGUGGAGGGUCAUUGGAAACUGGUCGACUUGAGUGCAGAAGAGGGAAGUGGAAUUCCAUGUGUAGCGGUGAAAUGCGUAGAGAUAUGGAGGAACACCAGUGGCGAAGGCGGCUUCCUGGUCUGUAACUGACACUGAGGCGCGAAAGCGUGGGGAGCAAACAGGAUUAGAUA